UAUUACUCCACUGUAUAUCAGGAUCAGAGAGAAGAGAAUUCUUCAAUUUGACAUGGGAGAAGAUGACAUUGUUGAUUAUGAAACCAAGUUUACUGAAUUAUCUCAUUUUGCUCUGGCAAUCAUAGCAGAUGAGAAGGAAAAAUGUUUGCUAUUUCCAGAUGGGUUGUGCCUUGAGAUCAAGGCAAAGACAAAGAUGCACAAUUAUGGUAGUUUUGCAGAGUUGAUUGUGGGAGCCACCAGGGUGGAAGAGAUUGAAAAAGAGUUCUAUAACCAUAGAUAGGAAAGGGGCAAGAGGAGUGAGCAGAGUUUCUCCAUGGGUACAGGAGAAAAUUAGCCGUCAAAGAAAGUCAAUACUUUUGGGCAACCCAAGCAAAGUUUCAGAGCAUCAGGGGAGUCAGGUGUGGAAUCUUUUGCUUUUACCAGCCCAGAAUAGAAGAGGACAAAAUAGAGAUUUGUGUCAUAAUUAGUGGAAAGUAGGGUGACA
RNAcentral lists this long non-coding RNA (484 nucleotides) under Elaeis guineensis (African oil palm). Its description in RNAcentral is "long non-coding RNA (EGUI_LNC053184)". The record is from RNAcentral. Lineage: Eukaryota; Viridiplantae; Streptophyta; Magnoliopsida; Arecales; Arecaceae.